GUCACCGUGACGUGGGCAGUUUGCUGCUGGUGACGUUGUAAGAAAUCCACUGAACCUUAUCAUUUAAAGGAAGGAGAAGUCGUAACAAGGUUUAUAGUAGGUGAACUUGUGGAAGGAUCAUUGUCAAU
Molecule: ribosomal RNA, 128 nt
Filed under: Aphanocalyx microphyllus subsp. microphyllus
Lineage: Eukaryota; Viridiplantae; Streptophyta; Magnoliopsida; Fabales; Fabaceae
Description: partial 18S ribosomal RNA
Rfam family: Eukaryotic small subunit ribosomal RNA
Source: RNAcentral